UACGUAGGGUGCAAGCGUUGUCCGGAAUUAUUGGGCGUAAAGAGCUCGUAGGCGGUCUGUCGCGUCGGAUGUGAAGAUCCAGGGCUCAACCCUGGACCUGCAUUCGAUACGGGCAGACUAGAGUUCGGCAGGGGAGACUGGAAUUCCUGGUGUAGCGGUGAAAUGCGCAGAUAUCAGGAGGAACACCGGUGGCGAAGGCGGGUCUCUGGGCCGAUACUGACGCUGAGGAGCGAAAGCGUGGGGAGCGAACAGG
Molecule: ribosomal RNA, 253 nt
Filed under: uncultured bacterium
Lineage: Bacteria
Description: partial 16S ribosomal RNA
Rfam family: Bacterial small subunit ribosomal RNA
Source: RNAcentral